CAAGAUAGAGGAGAGAGAAGGAAGUUAGAGAGAGAAAGAGGACGAAACCAAAAAGGAAAUCGAGGAUAUUUUCCUAUUUAUAUGGUAAGCCUCCUUUUCCUGAUUUUGUUUGUUCACUAAAAAUUUCUAAGGACUCAUUAUUAGACUUUUUUUUCUUUACACUUUCAAAAAUCUCUUAUAAAACCUAUGGUUGUCAAACGACCUUUUUAUCUCCUUCAAAAAUAUGUAAAUUGUUACAUCCCCAAUACUAAUUAUAGUAUAAGGUUACCAGAUAUCAAUACAGAAUACGAGUGCAUUUAAAUUGAAUAUAUGCAAUGGAAAUUUUUGCAUUACAAAAUCCCUUAUAAAAUAAAAUUAACUUUCUUUUCUUUAAAAAUCACGCCACAAUCAUGCAAUAAAAUCAAUGUUCAUUUCUUUAUUUUUUAAAAACACAUCUUUGUAAGGGAUGUGCAAAAAAAUACUGAAUCAUUUACUGUUACUGAUGACUCUUUGUAAGCUAGUCCACCUUCUCUUCAACUUGUCCUCCUUUCUCUCUUUAACUUUCUCUCUCCAAAAUUUUGGUCUUUGAGGGUAAAAUAGGUGAGGAAAAGUGGGGAAGGAGGUCCCUAUUUAUAAAGGAAGAGAACCGUCAGAUUGAUGAUAAGUGUCGCGAAUCUAUGAGGAGAGAGAAAAUAAUGGCGUCAUUAUGACAUUAUCAAUGUCAGUCGGUCAAGGGGGCAUGACUCCCAAGGCAAAAACGUGGGGCUUGAGGCGGCGGUGGUAGGGCAGUGGCAUGGGGCUCGAUGGGUCGCACGCGGUCUAAGUCUGCCACGCGCGACAAACUAGGCCUGGCGCGCGCAUAGCUAACCAGUGCGCCCAAACGGUGCGCAGACUAGCGCGUAAGGCUGGCUUGCGCGGAGUUGCACUUCUGACGUAAUAAGACUGCGCGCGCACAGAGCUGCACACCUGACAUGAGUGUCUACGUCUGAGAUUUAUAUGCAAAUGGUGCACAGUAUGACGCCCAAGCUUAUGGGACGUGCGCCUCUACAUACACGCCCAAACAACCUUGCACAUGUCCACGCGAGCACAAGGUUUGCAAGGCAUUCUCACGCGGGCUAGGGAUUUUUAUCACGGCAAUUGAUUUUUUCCAAUUUUCCUCUUCUUUUCUCUUUUAAU
This 1155-nucleotide long non-coding RNA is filed under the name Carica papaya (papaya). Its description in RNAcentral is "long non-coding RNA (CPAP_LNC014908)". The record is from RNAcentral. Lineage: Eukaryota; Viridiplantae; Streptophyta; Magnoliopsida; Brassicales; Caricaceae.